AGCAGCCGCGGUAAUUCCAGCUCCAAUAGCGUAUAUUAAAGUUGUUGCAGUUAAAAAGCUCGUAGUUGAAUUUCGGGGUCAGUAGGUCGGUCGUGCCACUGGUAUGUACUGGCUUCACUGAUUCCUCCCUCUUGUAGAACCGUGAUGCCAUUAAUUUGGUGUUGCGGGGAAACAGGACUGUUACUUUGAAAAAAUUAGAGUGUUUAAAGCAAGCUAACGCUUGAAUACAUUAGCAUGGAAUAAUGAAAUAGGACGUCGAUCUUAUUUUGUUGGUUUCUAGGGUUGACGUAAUGAUUAAUAGGGAUAGUUGGGGGCAUUAGUAUUCAAUUGUCAGAGGUGAAAUUCUUGGAUUUAUUGAAGACUAACUGCUGCGAAAGCAUUUGCCAAGGAUGUUUUCAUUAAUCAAGAACGAAAGUUAGGGGAUCGAAGACGAUCAGAUACCGUCGUAGUCUUAACCAUAAACUAUGCCGACUAGGGAUCGGAUGAUGUUAAUUUUUAAUGACUCAUUCGGCGCCUUACG
Molecule: ribosomal RNA, 520 nt
Filed under: uncultured Glomus
Lineage: Eukaryota; Fungi; Glomeromycota; Glomeromycetes; Glomerales; Glomeraceae
Description: SSU rRNA
Rfam family: Eukaryotic small subunit ribosomal RNA
Source: RNAcentral